GACGAACGCUGGCGGCGUGCUUAACACAUGCAAGUCGAACGGAAAGGCCCUGCUUGCAGGGUACUCGAGUGGCGAACGGGUGAGUAACACGUGGGUGAUCUGCCCCGCACUUCGGGAUAAGCUUGGGAAACUGGGUCUAAUACCGGAUAGGACCGCACUUUAGUGUGUGUGGUGGAAAGCUUUUUCGGUGUAGGAUGAGCUCGCGGCCUAUCAGCUUGUUGGUGGGGUAAUGGCCUACCAAGGCGGCGACGGGUAGCCGGCCUGAGAGGGUGUACGGCCACAUUGGGACUGAGAUACGGCCCAGACUCCUACGGGAGGCAGCAGUGGGGAAUAUUGCACAAUGGGCGCAAGCCUGAUGCAGCGACGCCGCGUGGGGGAUGAAGGCCUUCGGGUUGUAAACUCCUUUCGCUAGGGACGAAGCUUUGUGUGACGGUACCUAGAUAAGAAGCACCGGCUAACUACGUGCCAGCAGCCGCGGUAAUACGUAGGGUGCGAGCGUUGUCCGGAAUUACUGGGCGUAAAGGGCUCGUAGGUGGUUUGUCGCGUCGUCUGUGAAAUUCUGGGGCUUAACUCCGGGCGUGCAGGCGAUACGGGCAUAACUUGAGUGCUGUAGGGGUAACUGGAAUUCCUGGUGUAGCGGUGAAAUGCGCAGAUAUCAGGAGGAACACCGAUGGCGAAGGCAGGUUACUGGGCAGUUACUGACGCUGAGGAGCGAAAGCAUGGGUAGCGAACAGGAUUAGAUACCCUGGUAGUCCAUGCCGUAAACGGUGGGCGCUAGGUGUGAGGGUCUUUCUACGACUUUCGUGCCGUAGCUAACGCAUUAAGCGCCCCGCCUGGGGAGUACGACCGCAAGGUUGAAACUCAAAGGAAUUGACGGGGACCCGCACAAGCGGUGGAGCAUGUGGUUUAAUUCGGAGCAACGCGAAGAACCUUACCAAAUCUUGACAUCCUCUGACCCCUCUAGAGAUAGAGUUUUCCCCUUCGGGGGACAGAGUGACAGGUGGUGCAUGGUUGUCGUCAGCUCGUGUCGUGAGAUGUUGGGUUAAGUCCCGCAACGAGCGCAACCCUUAAGCUUAGUUGCCAUCAUUAAGUUGGGCACUCUAAGUUGACUGCCGGUGACAAACCGGAGGAAGGUGGGGAUGACGUCAAAUCAUCAUGCCCCUUAUGAUUUGGGCUACACACGUGCUACAAUGGACAAUACAAAGGGUAGCGAAACCGCGAGGUCAAGCAAAUCCCAUAAAGUUGUUCUCAGUUCGGAUUGUAGUCUGCAACUCGACUAUAUGAAGCUGGAAUCGCUAGUAAUCGUAGAUCAGCAUGCUACGGUGAAUACGUUCCCGGGUCU
This 1342-nucleotide ribosomal RNA is filed under the name uncultured bacterium. RNAcentral's name for it is "partial 16S ribosomal RNA". It matches the Rfam family "Bacterial small subunit ribosomal RNA", at positions 28 to 1381 of the family's 1533-position model. The record is from RNAcentral.